This 446-nucleotide ribosomal RNA is filed under the name uncultured bacterium. Its description in RNAcentral is "partial 16S ribosomal RNA". It matches the Rfam family "Bacterial small subunit ribosomal RNA", at positions 338 to 795 of the family's 1533-position model. The record is from RNAcentral.
CCUACGGGUGGCAGCAGUCGAGAAUCUUUCACAAUGGGGGAAACCCUGAUGGAGCGACGCCGCGUGCGGGAAUGAAGGUCUCUGGAUUGUAAACUCCUGUCAUGUGGGAGAAAAUUAACAAGAGAGUAUCACUAGAGGAAGAGAGGGCUAACUCUGUGACAGCAGCCGCGGUAAUACAGAGGUGCCAAGCGUUGUUCGGAAUCACUGGGCGUAAAGGGUGCGUAGGCUGUUUCGUAAGUCGUGGGUGAAAGGUGCGGGCUCAACCCCCGGACGGCAUAUGAUAAUGGGAGACUAGAGAAAUGGAGGGGUAAGCGGAAUGCAAGGUGUAGCGGUGAAAUGCGUAGAUAUCGUGAAGAACACUAGUGGCGAAGGCAGGUUCCUGGACAUUUACUGACGCUGAGGCACGAAGGCGUGGGGAGCAAAAAGGAUUAGAUACCCUUGUAGUC